MicroRNA precursor from Oryza sativa Japonica Group (Japanese rice), 207 nucleotides. It matches the Rfam family "MIR812 microRNA precursor family". Lineage: Eukaryota; Viridiplantae; Streptophyta; Magnoliopsida; Poales; Poaceae. The record is from Rfam.
AAUAAGUGUAGCCAUGGAUAUCCGUACCCAAUAUUUGACCGUCCGUUUUAUUUGAAAAAUUUAUGAAAAAAUUGAAAAUAUUUAGUCACACGUAAAGUACUAUUCAUGUUUUAUCAUCUAAUAGCAAUAAAAUUACUAAUCAUAAAAAUUUUCAAAUAAGACGAACGGUCAAACGUUGAACGUGAAUAAUGCAAAACUGCAUUUAUU